AGUCGAGCGGUAGCACAGAGAGCUUGCUCUCGGGUGACGAGCGGCGGACGGGUGAGUAAUGUCUGGGAAACUGCCUGAUGGAGGGGGAUAACUACUGGAAACGGUAGCUAAUACCGCAUAAUGUCGCAAGACCAAAGUGGGGGACCUUCGGGCCUCAUGCCAUCAGAUGUGCCCAGAUGGGAUUAGCUAGUAGGUGGGGUAACGGCUCACCUAGGCGACGAUCCCUAGCUGGUCUGAGAGGAUGACCAGCCACACUGGAACUGAGACACGGUCCAGACUCCUACGGGAGGCAGCAGUGGGGAAUAUUGCACAAUGGGCGCAAGCCUGAUGCAGCCAUGCCGCGUGUGUGAAGAAGGCCUUCGGGUUGUAAAGCACUUUCAGCGGGGAGGAAGGCGUUGAGGUUAAUAACCUUGUCGAUUGACGUUACCCGCAGAAGAAGCACCGGCUAACUCCGUGCCAGCAGCCGCGGUAAUACGGAGGGUGCAAGCGUUAAUCGGAAUUACUGGGCGUAAAGCGCACGCAGGCGGUCUGUCAAGUCGGAUGUGAAAUCCCCGGGCUCAACCUGGGAACUGCAUUCGAAACUGGCAGGCUAGAGUCUUGUAGAGGGGGGUAGAAUUCCAGGUGUAGCGGUGAAAUGCGUAGAGAUCUGGAGGAAUACCG
Molecule: ribosomal RNA, 660 nt
Filed under: Klebsiella pneumoniae
Lineage: Bacteria; Pseudomonadati; Pseudomonadota; Gammaproteobacteria; Enterobacterales; Enterobacteriaceae
Description: bacterial SSU rRNA
Rfam family: Bacterial small subunit ribosomal RNA
Source: RNAcentral